AUCACAUGAUGGGGUUUACCUUCAGCAGCUGUUACACACCUCAGCAGCAUGUUAUCGCACAACAACAACAACAACAACACAGCAGCAGGGGAACACAAACGAAGGCCCGCCCUCGGCUCCCCUCGGGCCCCUGACCCUAACCCUAAUCCUGACCCUCCCAGCUGAGGACCAGCAGGUCUUUAAUGUCCACGCUGAUGGUUUUAAUCAGAGCUGAUCCAGAUGGAGCCUCUUUAACCCUGAAGGUGUCUUCAUCUCCACAUCCAGCUCAACAAGAAAGUCUGGAGAGGAGACAUGGAGACAGAAGAACUUCUACAGGACGAGGAGACCACAUUAGUUCUGGUAUAUUAAAGAGAUUUCUGUGAAAUAUUCUGAUUGAAACUGAGAUCUGAUCCAAAUGGAUGCAUUCAAGGAGCUGAAAGCUGUAAACCUGCUGCUUUUCCUUCAGCUCUCAGGUUGUGGCUGUAAACGGGUCAUCUGGGAGCUCUGCAGAAAAAGGAAAGCUGCCUUCACACGCUUUUUGUUGAUAACGUGCUGAAAGUGACUCCAGGUGUGUGUCUGAACUCUCACCUGAUCCAGCAUCGUUUACACAUGACAUCUAUUGAGAGCUGCUGCAGUAAUAACCGCUGCUCAGACCCUCCAUUAAAUCACAUGUUGGUGCCGAUGCAGUUGUCAUGACAACAAACACAAAGACGAGUCAAAGACUACAGCCGGACGCACAGCCGUGGAAACGGGACGGCGACCUGCGAGCGUCACCACUGACACCCUAAUCCGGUCGGACCAUGAAGGUGAACGGCUUCAUGUUUGUCAGGGUGGAGACGAGCAGCGGGGGGGAGGCUGCAGCCGUUCCAACAGCCGCCUGCCCCUCCCUCUGCUGCUAAACGCCGUGAAGCUGCUCCAUUAUGUGUUUAUGAGAACUGAAUUUUACAAGAUUACAGCGAGGCUUUGAAGAACGACGGAGGGGGAGUUUAAUCAGCACUCUGACGGAGGGAGGAGACCCUUUAUGAACAGCUUCAUCCAGAACAACAACAAGAAACACACUCCACCAGCUCCACCCAGCACACACACACCUCACCAUGUGCAGCUUCAUCAGCUGCUCAAGUUUACAGCGCUUCAGAAACAUCACGUCAAUCUAAACUGUAUCCCUCACAGUAAUCAGAUUACUUCUAACAGAGUAUUUUCUCUGAUCAGUAAUCAGAAACUAAUCUUUUGUAAAGUCCAUAUUUAAAGUCCAGACUCCAAAGUGAUCCAGCUGUGAUUCCAGUCAGUCUACCUGAUGAACACGGUUCUAAAAGGAGCUGAGAACAGCAGAACGUUCUCAGUCCUGGACCUAUGGACUGGGUCUAUCUAUGUCUGCAUCAUGGAUCCACAUGGAGAAGAACUGAACAGAGGAAAAGAAACAUCUGACUGAGAGACUCGACAAAGAUGGAAAAAGAUCCAGGAAGAUUAGUGAGCAACUGAAAACCAGAGAAGCAGAGAGUCAGCAGGAACCAGGAGGUCUAGAAGGAGUCAUAGUUCCACUAAUCAGGAGGUCUAGAAGGAGUCAUAGUUCCACUAAUCAGGAGGUCUAGAAGGAGUCAUAGUUCCACUGAUCAGGAGGUCUAGAAGGAGUCAUAGUUCCACUAAUCAGGAGGUCUAGAAGGAGUCAUAGUUCCACUGAUCAGGAGGUCUAGAAGGAGUCAUAGUUCCACUGAUCAGGAGGUCUAGAAGGAGUCAUAGUUCCACUAAUCAGGAGGUCUAGAAGGAGUCAUAGUUCCACUAAUCAGGAGGUCUAGAAGGAGUCAUAGUUCCACUAAUCAGGAGGUCUAGAAGGAGUCAUAGUUCCACUGAUCAGGAGGUCUAGAAGGAGUCAUAGUUCCACUGAUCAGGAGGUCUAGAAGGAGUCAUAGUUCCACUAAUCAGGAGGUCUAGAAGGAGUCAUAGUUCCACUAAUCAGAAAGUCUAGAAGGAGUCAUAGUUCCACUAAUCAGAGCUCCUAAAAUGACUCCACAGACAGUGAACUACUUUCUCCAUCAGCUGUAAAAACAGACAUCAGCUGCUUCAGACUUGGUUCAGGGGUUCUUCAUGGAAACCAGAGUUAGUGUGAAGCUCAGACAGUGUGAAGGAACCUUCAGAACAUCAACCUCUAUGGACGGAGGACCAGAACUAAACCUGGUUGCUGCUCAGAACUAAACUUCCAGAUGAACAACAUGAGAAGAAGCCUGAUGGAUGCUGGAGAACAUUCUUUGGUCAGAUGAAGAUCAAUGAGUUGGGCUCAGAUGGAGUCCAGAUGUUUAGUCAGAACCUGACCAGGACUACCACAGUGGAUGCAUGGUCCUGACAGUGAAGCACGGAGGUGAGAGUGUGAUAAUCUGGGGCUGCAUGAGGUCAGAAGGUGUUGAAGACAUUUCUAGAUGCAGCAUGAAGGACUGAGGAGGAACCAGAAUACGGGCUGACCAGAUGAACAAGAGGAACAUUCCAGCAGGAGAACAUCUAAGAACAUCAUCAGACCAGAACUUCUCCACAUCAGAAACCUGGUAUUAAGCGUCCAGUUUAAU
This is a long non-coding RNA of Acanthochromis polyacanthus (spiny chromis), 2534 nucleotides long. RefSeq lists it as uncharacterized. The record is from RefSeq and is a predicted model, not a curated record. The transcript has 3 exons. NCBI's taxonomy places the organism in Eukaryota, Metazoa, Chordata, Actinopteri, Pomacentridae.